This 301-nucleotide ribosomal RNA is filed under the name uncultured bacterium. RNAcentral describes it as "partial 16S ribosomal RNA". It matches the Rfam family "Bacterial small subunit ribosomal RNA", at positions 509 to 807 of the family's 1533-position model. The record is from RNAcentral.
CAGUAGCCGCGGGAAUACGGAGGGUGCAAGCGUUAAUCGGAAUUACUGGGCGUAAAGCGCACGCAGGCGGUCUGUCAAGUCAGAUGUGAAAUCCCCGGGCUUAACCUGGGAACUGCAUUUGAAACUGGCAGGCUAGAGUCUUGUAGAGGGGGGUAGAAUUCCAGGUGUAGCGGUGAAAUGCGUAGAGAUCUGGAGGAAUACCGGUGGCGAAAGCGGCCCCCUGGACAAAGACUGACGCUCAGGUGCGAAAGCGUGGGGAGCAAACAGGAUUAGAUACCCGCGUAGUCCCUGUCUCUUAUAC